Non-coding RNA from Cordylochernes scorpioides, 75 nucleotides. NCBI's taxonomy places the organism in Eukaryota, Metazoa, Arthropoda, Arachnida, Pseudoscorpiones, Chernetidae. The record is from the annotation of a GenBank genome assembly.
UGUCCAGGGGCGGGAAUCGAACCCACAACCUUCUGCUUACCGGGCAGGUGCCAUGUCCACUAGGCUACCCUGGGC